RNAcentral lists this ribosomal RNA (708 nucleotides) under uncultured bacterium. RNAcentral describes it as "bacterial SSU rRNA". It matches the Rfam family "Bacterial small subunit ribosomal RNA", at positions 73 to 780 of the family's 1533-position model. The record is from RNAcentral.
CUUGCUACUUUGCCGGCGAGCGGCGGACGGGUGAGUAAUGUCUGGGAAACUGCCUGAUGGAGGGGGAUAACUACUGGAAACGGUAGCUAAUACCGCAUGACCUCGAAAGAGCAAAGUGGGGGAUCUUCGGACCUCACGCCAUCGGAUGUGCCCAGAUGGGAUUAGCUAGUAGGUGAGGUAAUGGCUCACCUAGGCGACGAUCCCUAGCUGGUCUGAGAGGAUGACCAGCCACACUGGAACUGAGACACGGUCCAGACUCCUACGGGAGGCAGCAGUGGGGAAUAUUGCACAAUGGGCGCAAGCCUGAUGCAGCCAUGCCGCGUGUGUGAAGAAGGCCUUAGGGUUGUAAAGCACUUUCAGCGAGGAGGAAGGCAUCACACUUAAUACGUGUGGUGAUUGACGUUACUCGCAGAAGAAGCACCGGCUAACUCCGUGCCAGCAGCCGCGGUAAUACGGAGGGUGCAAGCGUUAAUCGGAAUUACUGGGCGUAAAGCGCACGCAGGCGGUUUGUUAAGUCAGAUGUGAAAUCCCCGCGCUUAACGUAGGGAACUGCAUUUGAAACUGGCAAGCUAGAGUCUUGUAGAGGGGGGUAGAAUUCCAGGUGUAGCGGUGAAAUGCGUAGAGAUCUGGAGGAAUACCGGUGGCGAAAGCGGCCCCCUGGACAAAGACUGACGCUCAGUGCGAAAGCGUGGGGAGCAAGCAGGAUUA